This 253-nucleotide ribosomal RNA is filed under the name uncultured bacterium. RNAcentral describes it as "partial 16S ribosomal RNA". It matches the Rfam family "Bacterial small subunit ribosomal RNA", at positions 524 to 776 of the family's 1533-position model. The record is from RNAcentral.
UACGUAGGGGUCGAGCGUUGUCCGGACUUACUGGGCGUAAAGCGUGGGUAGGUGGAUGGCGAUGUGCCGUGUGAAAGCCCCGCGUUCAUCGGGGGGAGGUCGCGGUAGACACGCCAUCUGGAGGCAUACAGAGGGCGGUGGAAUUCCCGGUGUAGUGGUGAAAUGCGUAGAUAUCGGGAGGAACACCAGUGGCGCAAGCGGCCGCCUGGGUAUGACCUGACACUGAGCCACGACGGCGUGGGGAGCAAACGGG